This 510-nucleotide ribosomal RNA is filed under the name uncultured bacterium. RNAcentral describes it as "bacterial SSU rRNA". It matches the Rfam family "Bacterial small subunit ribosomal RNA", at positions 15 to 518 of the family's 1533-position model. The record is from RNAcentral.
GAUCAUGGCUCAGGAUGAACGCUAGCUACAGGCUUAACACAUGCAAGUCGAGGGGCAUCAUGUCGGUUGCUUGCAACCGAUGAUGGCGACCGGCGCACGGGUGAGUAACGCGUAUCCAACCUUCCCCUUAGUAGGGCAUAGCCCGUAGAAAUGCGGAUUAACACCCUAUGUUCUUCAUGGAUGGCAUCUGACGUGAAGCAAAGUUUACGCUAAGGGAUGGGGAUGCGUCUGAUUAGGUUGCAGGCGGGGUAACGGCCCACCUGGCCGACGAUCAGUAGGGGUUCUGAGAGGAAGGUCCCCCACAUUGGAACUGAGACACGGUCCAAACUCCUACGGGAGGCAGCAGUGAGGAAUAUUGCACAAUGGGGGAAACCCUGAUGCAGCAACGCCACGUGUGGGAAGAAGCAUUUCGGUGUGUAAACCACUGUCAUGAGGGAAUAAGGCCCUUAUUCGUAAGGGAUUGAAUGUACCUUGAGAGGAAGCACCGGCAAACUUCGUGCCAGCAGCGGC